CUCGCUCGUUUUCUUUUCCACAUACACACAUGGGUGAAGCUUCCUACCGUAGUCUAUCCCGGAGAAUUUAGAGACACGAGACGCCGAUGUGAAAGAGUGUUGUGCUCUUCGGGAUAGACAAUGUGUGGAUUGCAGAGAAGUGUGAAGA
This is a non-coding RNA of Caenorhabditis elegans, 148 nucleotides long. The record is from Ensembl. Lineage: Eukaryota; Metazoa; Nematoda; Chromadorea; Rhabditida; Rhabditidae.